This 24-nucleotide non-coding RNA is filed under the name Arabidopsis thaliana (thale cress). Lineage: Eukaryota; Viridiplantae; Streptophyta; Magnoliopsida; Brassicales; Brassicaceae. The record is from RNAcentral.
GUCGGAACUGUGCGAAUGAGGACA